GUCAGGUUUGAUGGUGAGCAGAUGUGCCAGCCCCUCUCUUCAGUGCAUCCCUAUUUUCUGAGGAACCACUAGGGUCAAGGACGACCCACAUCUUAGUAGAAAGUCAUGGCUUCUAGGGCACGCAGAGGUCUGAGUACGGCCGAAAUCAAUGAAGUUAUUGCUCAAUAUGAAAGCGAUGAUUUUGAUGGCAGUUACGUUUCAUUUGGCUGACACGUAACAGGGACAUCUUCCUGCCAUUGGCCACGUCAAGCUGCGCAAGCGUGUUCGCUGCCGAAGUUGCCCAUCUAGAGACGACCACAAGACGAACACAGCAUGUUUGCGAUGCAAACGGGCCUGUGUUCCUACAGCAUCAAACUGUCUUGUGUCCGAAGUGUGUGCCUCGUACGUAGGUAGCAAAUUUGGCCGUCGCACUUGUCGUGGGUGGGGCCCCAUUUACUGUACAUAUCCAUUAGGUAAGUUGCAUACCGCUAUAUAUUCUUGUUCUCUAUAGAAUUUGUGAUAUUCUGGUAGAUUUUCAUGCAUAAAUAUCAUAUCUUAUAGUAGUUACAGACAUUUUUAUAAGAAAUUUUCAUGGUAAAACAAGGAGGUCAACAAAUGACCUAUACAUUAGAGUAAG
Macrobrachium nipponense is the source of this 616-nucleotide long non-coding RNA. RefSeq lists it as uncharacterized. The transcript is spliced from 3 exons. NCBI's taxonomy places the organism in Eukaryota, Metazoa, Arthropoda, Malacostraca, Decapoda, Palaemonidae. The record is from RefSeq and is a predicted model, not a curated record.